UAAAUGCAGUUUGCAGUCGAGUGUCAUGGAAUCACACUGGUAGCAGGGAUAAAGAAAACCUUUAACUAACCAUUGAAUUAAGGAGAAAAAGAGAAUAGACACUACAGAGAGAAAAGAGAAGAGAGUCUGGUCUUUCAUCCUCUUAUCUGGGCAUCAGACGGAGGAGAGGAGAGGAAUCCAGAGAGAGGGGGAACGGAUGAUAACAUGGUGCUCAUUCCUGUUUAACACCAUACAGCCAGGAACAGACUGCAUCUGCAACAUACGGCCAGCGUCGUCAUUGGGAAUGCUGCGUUACAUUGGGAUUGUGUAAAUGUGCCAGUGUGUGUGUGUAUCUAUGAGCUGAUAAUAGCAACCCUAUUGGUAUUCUGAGGAGGGGGCUCCAGGAUCUCUCUCUGCUCCUACCCAGGAUGGCAUCACAGAGACGGGAUUGUGCUCGCCUGUGGAGAGGCCACUGGAAUGGGGCUCAAACCUAGUGGAAUGAUCUCUACCUUUCUGAAUCCUUUCCUUGUCAGUCAGGAGUCACAGUUCCCACCAUAGGGAAUAAAGACAAACUGCUAGCAUCCAGCACCCCAAUACUGACCACCUCUCUACCCCUGCAGAGUGACCCCCCCACAAGGAGCCCAACCACCAGUGCUACAAUUGUUCCAGUGAGAGAUGUGUACAAUGCACUCUUCUGAUUACAACCGCAUCCAAUGGGAUUUAAUGAAACCUAGAGGUUUGGGGUGUUGAUGCCAGCGCCACAGCUUGUAGAGGAUCUUGAACUUCGGGGGACGUGUCUCCUUGGAAGGGAAUACUCAACUGUGACUCUCCUCCAGAAAACUACAUGAGAUUGUGGUACAUGGGUGGAUUUAUCGGCUGUACAUCCUGUCUAGAUUAUGGGACUUUACUCUGUUCACUUCAAAGUUCUGCGUCUGUUCCAGACCGGUUCCUCAGCAGAACCAAGUAGUUGACAGUCCCCCCUUGGGAAUCCCGCCUUCUGAUUUGUUUGGGGGCUUAUUUUUUAAAGGAACAAUUUCCCCUCCACUUUCCCUUUUUCUGGUCUUCCUCAUUUCCCCCCACCUCUUCAUCCAUUGAGGAGGAAUAUAUUAUGAAACAAGUCUAUUCUUCCUGAUCCUCCCUUGGUGACAGAGAGAAAAGAGGGACAAACUGCCCUGAAUAGAUAACGAGGAAGGAGAGAGAGAACGGAGAAGAGAAGGAGAUAGGGAAACACAGAGAGAGAGAGAGAGAGAGAGAGAGAGAGAGAGAGAGAGAGAGAGAG
Molecule: long non-coding RNA, 1258 nt
Organism: Oncorhynchus nerka (sockeye salmon)
Lineage: Eukaryota; Metazoa; Chordata; Actinopteri; Salmoniformes; Salmonidae
Exons: 3
Source: RefSeq, a predicted model, not a curated record